RNAcentral lists this ribosomal RNA (717 nucleotides) under uncultured fungus. RNAcentral's name for it is "SSU rRNA". It matches the Rfam family "Eukaryotic small subunit ribosomal RNA", at positions 384 to 1102 of the family's 1831-position model. Lineage: Eukaryota; Fungi. The record is from RNAcentral.
CGGAGAGGGAGCCUGAGAAACGGCUACCACAUCCAAGGAUGGCAGCAGGCGCGCAAAUUACCCAAUCCCGACACGGGGAGGUAGUGACAAUAAAUAACAAUACGGGGUUCUUUAGGAUCUCGUAAUUGGAAUGAGUACAAUUUAAAUCUCUUAACGAGGAACAAUUGGAGGGCAAGUCUGGUGCCAGCAGCCGCGGUAAUUCCAGCUCCAAUAGCGUAUAUUAAAGUUGUUGCAGUUAAAAAGCUCGUANNUGAAUUUCGGGGUUAGUAGGUUGGUCAUGCCUCUGGUAUGUACUGGUCUCACUGAUUCCUCCUUCCUUAUGAACCGUAAUGCCAUUAAUUUGGUGUUGCGGGGAAUUUGGACUGUUACUUUGAAAAAAUUAGAGUGUUUAAAGCAAGCUAACGCUUGAAUACAUUAGCAUGGAAUAAUGAAAUAGGACGUUCGAUCUUAUUUUGUUGGUUUCUAGGAUUGACGUAAUGAUUAAUAGGGAUAGUUGGGGGCAUUAGUAUUCAAUUGUCAGAGGUGAAAUUCUUGGAUUUAUUGAAGACUAACUACUGCGAAAGCAUUUGCCAAGGAUGUUUUCAUUAAUCAAGAACGAAAGUUAGGGGAUCGAAGACGAUCAGAUACCGUCGUAGUCUUAACCAUAAACUAUGCCGACUAGGGAUCGGAUGAUGUUAAUUUUUUAAUGACUCAUUCGGCGCCUUACGGGAAACCAAA